Molecule: long non-coding RNA, 523 nt
Filed under: Homo sapiens (human)
Lineage: Eukaryota; Metazoa; Chordata; Mammalia; Primates; Hominidae
Description: HSALNT0302209
Source: RNAcentral
GGGACAAAGAGAGGGGUCAGCUGAGGGGCAUCAAAGAAGAAAGGACUGAGGUGGUUCAGUUCAGCAUGCCCUGCCAAAUCUUACCCAUAGAACAGAUGCCUGUGGCGCUGCGGUGGUGCCCAACAGCUCUGAGUUUCAGCCUCUUCUUCCUGGGACUUAACCUCUCACUCUCCACUGCUGUCCUUUGAACACACAGGAGUAAAUUGGCAAAGAUACUGAGGAGCAGAGAGGGGGCACUGAAGUUCGAAGUCCCUUACCUGGAGAGGGACACUGCCAGGAUGAGGACACAGGUCCUCAGGUGCUCCGGUGCACAGCAAUGCCACGUGCGCCUGGGAACACAAGAGUCUGUCUGGGCUGUGCCUCUACGCACUGUGCCAGCUGUCGGCCAGCCUCCCUUGCAGGUCACAGACUCUUGUCAUGCUGUGUCACAAAUAUAGCUGCUUGUGAUCUUCAAAUUUCCAUAAAUGACAGAAAAUGGAAUCCUCUUGCUUGAUGGUACAUUCAUGGCAUCACCCAUCCCAGA